GCACUGAUGGUCUAACGGCAAGACUCCUCCGUCGUAACGAGGUAAUGCGGGUUCGAUUCCGGCUCGGUGCUC
This 72-nucleotide transfer RNA is filed under the name Rubripirellula tenax. Its description in RNAcentral is "Planctomycetes bacterium Poly51 tRNA-Thr". It matches the Rfam family "tRNA". From Rfam's summary of the family: Transfer RNA (tRNA) molecules are approximately 80 nucleotides in length. Their secondary structure includes four short double-helical elements and three loops (D, anti-codon, and T loops). Lineage: Bacteria; Pseudomonadati; Planctomycetota; Planctomycetia; Pirellulales; Pirellulaceae. The record is from RNAcentral.